GCCCGCCUAGCUCAAUCGGAUAGAGCGCGAGACUUUUAAGCAGUCAGUGUGCGAGGGUCGAACUCGCACACUUCGCGGCGGCGUGGCAUCUCGAGGCUGCGGGUUCGACCCCCGCGGUGGGCU
Artomyces pyxidatus is the source of this 123-nucleotide non-coding RNA. The record is from the annotation of a GenBank genome assembly. Lineage: Eukaryota; Fungi; Basidiomycota; Agaricomycetes; Russulales; Auriscalpiaceae.